This 502-nucleotide ribosomal RNA is filed under the name uncultured fungus. RNAcentral's name for it is "eukaryotic LSU rRNA". The stretch from base 59 to 212 matches the Rfam family "5.8S ribosomal RNA". Lineage: Eukaryota; Fungi. The record is from RNAcentral.
UAGGAUUUACACAAACACUCAAUGUAAUGAAAUAAUGUUGUGCUCAACACUAAUAUACAACUUUCAACUACGGAUCUCUUGGCUCUCUCAUCAAUGAACAACGCAGCAAAAUGCGAUAAUUAAUGUGAAUUGCAAAAUUCAGUGAAUCAUCAAAUCUUUGAACGCACCUUGCACCCUUUGGCAUUCCAAAGGGUAUGCUCGUUUGAGUGUCAUUAUACUCUCAAACUCUCGGAUUAUAGAGCGGCGGACCUGGAUGUUGCCUGGUGCUUGUUGUCAGGCUCAUCUGAAAUGAGUUAUUACCACUCCUACUUAAACAUAGUACGGCGUUAUAACUAAACCCUCGCUGUUUUUUUGUCUGAUUAGGAGCCUUGUGCUUCCAACCGUCUUCAGACAAUAUCUGAUAACUUGACCUCAGAUCGAGUACGAUUACCCGCUGAACUUAAACAUAUAAAUAAACGGAUGAAAAGAAACUAACGAGGAUUCCCCUACUAACGGCGAGUGA